CCCUACGGGAGGCAGCAGUGAGGAAUAUUGGUCAAUGGUCGGGAGACUGAACCAGCCAAGCCGCGUGAGGGAUGAAGGUACAGAGUAUCGUAAACCUCUUUUGUCAGGGAACAAAGGCGGGGACGCGUCCCCGGAUGAGUGUACCUGAAGAAAAAGCAUCGGCUAACUCCGUGCCAGCAGCCGCGGUAAUACGGAGGAUGCGAGCGUUAUCCGGAUUUAUUGGGUUUAAAGGGUGCGCAGGCGGUCUGUUAAGUCAGAGGUCACAGCCCGGGGCUCAACCCCGGCCCGCCGUUGGAACUGGCAAU
Molecule: ribosomal RNA, 305 nt
Filed under: uncultured bacterium
Lineage: Bacteria
Description: bacterial SSU rRNA
Rfam family: Bacterial small subunit ribosomal RNA
Source: RNAcentral